Molecule: long non-coding RNA, 823 nt
Organism: Oncorhynchus tshawytscha (Chinook salmon)
Lineage: Eukaryota; Metazoa; Chordata; Actinopteri; Salmoniformes; Salmonidae
Source: Ensembl
GGCCUGGGUAGGUAAUGAAUGUCGUAGGCCUGGGCAGAUCAUGAAUGUUGCGGGCCUGAAUGUCGUGGGCCUGGGUAGGUAAUGAAUGUCGUGGGCCUGGGUAGAUCAUGAAUGUCGCGGGCCUGACUGUCGUGGGCCUGGGUAGGUAGUGAAUGUCGCGGGCCUGGGUAGGUAAUGGAUGUCGUGGGCCUGGGUAGAUAAUGAAUGUCGUGGGCCUGGGUAGAUAAUGAAUGUCGUGGGCCUGGGUAGACAAUGAACUUUGUGGGCCUGGGUAGAUAAUGAAUGCUGUGGGCCUGGGUAGAUAAUGAAUGUCGUGGGCCUGGGUACAUAAUGAAUGUCGCGGGCCUGGGUCGGUAAUGAAUGUCGCGGGCCUGAAUGUCGCGGGCCUGGGUCUGUAAUGAAUGUCGUGGGCCUGGGUAGGUGAUGAAUGUCGUGGGCCUGAAUGUUGUGGGCCUGGGUCGGUAAUGAAUGUCGUGGGCCUGGGUAGGUAAUGAAUGUCGUGGGCCUGAAUGUUGUGGGCCUGGGUAGGUAAUGAAUGUCGUGGGCCUGAAUGUCGCGGGCCUGGGUCGGUAAUGAAUGUCGUGGGCCUGGGUAGGUAAUGAAUGUCGUGGGCCUGAAUGUUGUGGGCCUGGGUAUGUAAUUAAUGUCGUAGGCCUGGGUAGAUCAUGAAUGUUGCGGGCCUGAAUGUCGUGGGCCUGGGUAGGUAAUGAAUGUCGUGGGCCUGGGUAGAUCAUGAAUGUCAUGGGCCUGAAUGUCGUGGGCCUGGGUAGGUAAUGAAUGUCGCGGGCCUGGGUAGGUAAUGAAUGCCGUGGGCCUGGGUAGG